Small nucleolar RNA from Dioscorea cayenensis subsp. rotundata (Guinea yam), 104 nucleotides. Lineage: Eukaryota; Viridiplantae; Streptophyta; Magnoliopsida; Dioscoreales; Dioscoreaceae. The record is from RefSeq and is a predicted model, not a curated record.
AGGCCAUGGUGUGGGCAUAGUCUCAUAAGCUCCUUGAAUCUAUCCCAGGCCUCAUGCAGUGAUUUACCAUCCUUUUGAUAAAAAUCAGUGAUUUGGUUGCGCAA